GCAUGUUUUCUGUGAAAACGGUU
Molecule: unclassified non-coding RNA, 23 nt
Filed under: synthetic construct
Description: RNA (5'-R(P*GP*CP*AP*UP*GP*UP*UP*UP*UP*CP*UP*GP*UP*GP*AP*AP*AP*AP*CP*GP*GP*UP*U)... from synthetic construct (PDB 2N2O, chain A)
Source: RNAcentral